RNAcentral lists this small RNA (549 nucleotides) under Pan troglodytes (chimpanzee). Its description in RNAcentral is "retained intron". The record is from RNAcentral. Lineage: Eukaryota; Metazoa; Chordata; Mammalia; Primates; Hominidae.
AUUAAGGCCUGUGGGACUCUUCCUUUCCUAGAUGAAAACCUUCUAACUGUUGCUAAUUUUUCCGUAGGUUGCCCAUCCUCCUGGAUAUCCUUUGUUCACGCUGGUGGCUAAACUGGCAAUUACACUGUUUCCUUUUGGUUCAAUUGCCUACCGCGUCAAUCUUCUUUGUGGCUUAUUUGGAGCAGUAGCUGCAUCAUUACUUUUUUUCACCGUUUUCAGAUGAAUAGUAUUCCAUCAGUGAGAAAACUACUAUGCAAUCAGUACCUUUCUUAGGAAUCUUAUCUGGGUCUCAUGAAUUUUGUGGACCAAAAAAAGAAGACAGUUAUGUUUUAAGCAGAGAAUUCUGUUGCUCACAUUUGAUGCUUAAUAGCAUCACAUCAUCCUUACUCCAGUGGAGAAUUUCUGUCAUUUGCAUGAUCUGGGCUUUCUGGCUCAUCUGCUGGAGGAAUCCUUGCUGCGGGGGUGUUUUCAUUUUCUCGUCUAACAUGGCAGUGGUCCAUUGCAGCAGAGGUUUUUAGCUUAAACAAUCUCUUUGUGGGGCUGCUUAUG